GACGAACGCUGGCGGCGUGCUUAACACAUGCAAGUCGAACGAAGUGGCGAACGGGUGAGUAACGCGUAAUCAACCUGCCCUUCAGAGGGGGCCAACAGUUGGAAACGACUGCUAAUACCGCAUACUGAAGGAGGGGAUUGAGUCUGAUUAGCUAGUUGGGGGGGUAACGGCCCACCAAGGAGAUGAUCGGUAGCCGGGCUGAGAGGGUGAACGGCCACCUUGGGACUGAGGCUCGGCCCAGACUCCGACGGGAGGCAGCAGUGGGGGAUCUUCCGCAAGCGACGUAAGUCUGACGGAGCAACGUCUCGUGAGUGAUGACGGCCUUUGGGUUGGAAAGCUCUGUUAAGCGGGACGCGGUACCGGAAUAGAAAGCCACGGCUAACUACGUUCCAGCAGCCGCGGUAAUUC
This 408-nucleotide ribosomal RNA is filed under the name uncultured bacterium. RNAcentral describes it as "partial 16S ribosomal RNA". It matches the Rfam family "Bacterial small subunit ribosomal RNA", at positions 28 to 526 of the family's 1533-position model. The record is from RNAcentral.